This 75-nucleotide transfer RNA is filed under the name uncultured Clostridium sp. RNAcentral's name for it is "tRNA-Pro(tgg)". It matches the Rfam family "tRNA". From Rfam's summary of the family: Transfer RNA (tRNA) molecules are approximately 80 nucleotides in length. Lineage: Bacteria; Bacillati; Bacillota; Clostridia; Eubacteriales; Clostridiaceae. The record is from RNAcentral.
CCGGGUGUGGCUCAGUUUGGUGGAGCGCAUGGUUUGGGACCAUGAGGUCGCAGGUUCGAAUCCUGUCACCCGGAC